GCAAGUGUUCAAAUGCUGCUCGGUUCAGACAAAAUGUCGACUGCAUCAGAAUAUUGUGACUGUUUUCCAAGUGCAUCAGCGGUUUGGCUGUAAAAAAAAACUCCAGGUCCAGGACCCGAAAGUGAGGUUGCACUCCUGGCUGUCGAAGGGGAAGUAGGAGACGUCCACCACGCAGGAGCUCUUGGUGAUGGCCGGGGCAUCCCAGGUGAUCUCUCCAUUGUAGCGCAGCACCACGUUGGUGUCCAUCGGGCCCGAGAAGUCGUCGUCAGCCCUGGAGGAGAGAGGGACGCCAUCACACUAUGAGGACACUCGCUACUGAGGGUAACGCUGAGAGGACCAGGUCUGGCCUCCACACUGGGGAUGCGGACCACCUACUUGUUAUAGAGGACCAGGUCUGGCCUCCACACCAGACUGCUGGGGAUGCGGAUCACCUCCAGGCCGUCGUAGUCCUCCUUGUUCCACUUGAGAUGGAUCCAAAAGGAGGCACAGCAGGGGUACAGCAGCUGCAGCAGCCCGAAAAAUAAGCUUGACUCCACCCAGGUACUGAACCAAGGAGAGAGUAACCCCAUUAAGACAGUAGCAGUGAUGAACGGGUCCAGACGCACCUCCCAACCUGAACAGCAACAAGAGCUGUCUAUGUAACCGUAGGCUGAUGAAAUGGGUGGAUUCACGUACAGUAGCGCGACAUAAGCCCUGUGAGUGAUCACUGUAAUGUAGUCCUCCCAUCUCGAUUGAUCACUUGUUUGAUUAAAUGUGUUGUUGGCUAUAAAACCUUUGGCCUGGCUGCUGGUGGCCCAUGCAGCCUGUUGAUGUUGAUGUUAUCAGAUUAUCAAAAUCGAUAAUGACUCGAGUCGGGUCAUGUUUGGUAUGAUCAUUUGCAAUGUUUUAUUUAUAAUUUUUUUGAAAUUACAUUUUUGUCAAAAGAAAAUGUGUCAUAAUGUGACACAUUUAGAUAUACUCUUACAUACAAUUACAAUAUGAGGAUAUACCAUGAUCGUCAUACAAUGCCACUGACAAGCAGUCAUCUAAUUGCUCAGUUAUCGUUGGUUUAGUUAUACUAAGUCAACCAUUUAGAUUACUCACGGGCACUCUGUCAGAUUCCCAAGACAGAUAAUGAUGAAAGGAAUAAAACAUAGCAGAGAUGUGAUUAGAUCCUUGAGUAUUUAUUGGACUAAUAUAAAUCGUAGGCAUUAACUCUGGUGGAUGGAAGGUUAAAUCGGGCGUUGGGGACAGAAUCACGACACCGUGUCUGCUCGGGAGGUCAUGAAGCUGCCGAGAUACAAGGUUAACGUCUCCCCUCUGGAGGCGUCCGAGUGGGACCGUGACACGCACCAUGUCUUUGAUCUGAGAGAGGGUGAUCUGCAGGGUCACGUUGAGGGCCUUGUCCGUGUCCUCCACGGGCCGCAGAGCGUUGGAGUAGUCCUCCAUCAAGUCUCCCAGAAGCUUCUGGGCGUAGCGUCCCUGGGCAGAAUCGGCCACUGGAGAAUACAGAGCUGGUGAUACGCAAUCUCCUGUGAUAUUGAACCCCGUGUUUUGAGAUGUGAUUUGUUGGAGGAUAUUCCUGCCUUCGUCUUUUAUUUAUUUCUGUAAUAUUAAGGUUUUUAUGGCAACGGUUUGUGAGUUUUUCCUUCGUUGAGUGUAGCGCUAGGGGAAUAUCAUAUGCCACAGUACCGUAUAAUGUAUCGUAUCAGACCAUCAGUGCCUGAGCAUGCACACUAUUCAGGCAUGAAAACAUG
Molecule: long non-coding RNA, 1736 nt
Organism: Gadus chalcogrammus (walleye pollock)
Lineage: Eukaryota; Metazoa; Chordata; Actinopteri; Gadiformes; Gadidae
Exons: 5
Source: RefSeq, a predicted model, not a curated record